RNAcentral lists this ribosomal RNA (919 nucleotides) under Klebsiella pneumoniae. Its description in RNAcentral is "partial 23S ribosomal RNA". It matches the Rfam family "Bacterial large subunit ribosomal RNA", at positions 345 to 1269 of the family's 2925-position model. The record is from RNAcentral. Lineage: Bacteria; Pseudomonadati; Pseudomonadota; Gammaproteobacteria; Enterobacterales; Enterobacteriaceae.
GAAAGUCCGACGGUACAGGGUGAUAGUCCCGUACACCAAAAUGCACAGGCUGUGAACUCGAAGAGUAGGGCGGGACACGUGGUAUCCUGUCUGAAUAUGGGGGGACCAUCCUCCAAGGCUAAAUACUCCUGACUGACCGAUAGUGAACCAGUACCGUGAGGGAAAGGCGAAAAGAACCCCGGCGAGGGGAGUGAAAAAGAACCUGAAACCGUGUACGUACAAGCAGUGGGAGCACCUUCGGGUGUGACUGCGUACCUUUUGUAUAAUGGGUCAGCGACUUAUAUUCUGUAGCAAGGUUAACCGUAUAGGGGAGCCGCAGGGAAACCGAGUCUUAACUGGGCGUUAAGUUGCAGGGUAUAGACCCGAAACCCGGUGAUCUAGCCAUGGGCAGGUUGAAGGUUGGGUAACACUAACUGGAGGACCGAACCGACUAAUGUUGAAAAAUUAGCGGAUGACUUGUGGCUGGGGGUGAAAGGCCAAUCAAACCGGGAGAUAGCUGGUUCUCCCCGAAAGCUAUUUAGGUAGCGCCUCGUGAAUUCAUCUUCGGGGGUAGAGCACUGUUUCGGCUAGGGGGUCAUCCCGACUUACCAACCCGAUGCAAACUACGAAUACCGAAGAAUGUUAUCACGGGAGACACACGGCGGGUGCUAACGUCCGUCGUGAAGAGGGAAACAACCCAGACCGCCAGCUAAGGUCCCAAAGUCAUGGUUAAGUGGGAAACGAUGUGGGAAGGCACAGACAGCCAGGAUGUUGGCUUAGAAGCAGCCAUCAUUUAAAGAAAGCGUAAUAGCUCACUGGUCGAGUCGGCCUGCGCGGAAGAUGUAACGGGGCUAAACCAUGCACCGAAGCUGCGGCAGCGACACUAUGUGUUGUUGGGUAGGGGAGCGUUCUGUAAGCCUGCGAAGGUGUGCUGUGAGGC